CAUGAUUAAGCUCGCCAGGGAAGAGAAUGAUCCAGAGUUGGAAUCGGAAUCAGUGAAAGCUUUACUUGGAAUUAGAAGGAAUGUGAAAGAAAAAGAGCUUGAAGCUUUAUUAUCUGGGGAGCAUGAUAAUUGCUCUUGUUUUAUAGAGGUUCAAGCUGGAGCUGGCGGUACUGAGAGCAUGGACUGGGCUUCAAUGGUCAUGCAGAUGUACAAAAUGUGGGCUCAACGUAAAGGAUAUGGUGUUUCUGUUGUGGAUGAAAUGCCUGCGUGCAACAAUCAAAGUUGAUGGCGAAAAUGCUUUUGGAUAUGCCAAAUCAGAGGUAGGAGUGCAUCGUCUGGUACGCAUCUCGCCAUUUGAUAGCGCGAAGAGAAGGCAUACUUCCUUUGUUGCAGUUGCUGUAAUCCCAAUUUUGGGAGAUGG
This 421-nucleotide unclassified non-coding RNA is filed under the name Hevea brasiliensis (rubber tree). Lineage: Eukaryota; Viridiplantae; Streptophyta; Magnoliopsida; Malpighiales; Euphorbiaceae. The record is from RNAcentral.